UUUGUUUUUUAAUUAAAAACUAGAAUGAAAGGUUUAACAUUUAAAUUUGUAUAUUUAUAAUAUUAUUUAAUUUUUAUUAAAUAUAAAAAUAUAUUUAUUUAAUAAAAAGACGACAAGACCCUAUUGAACUUUACUUUUGUUUAACUGGGGCAGUUAAUUAAUUAUAAUUUUAAUUAUAUAUAUAUAUAUAUAUAUAUAUAAAUAACCAAUAAAAUUGAAUAUAAAAAGUUACCAUAGGGAUAACAGCGUAAUAUUAUUUUAAAGUUCUUAUUUAAAUUAAUGUUUGCGACCUCGAUGUUGAAUUAUUAUUCUUUAUAUGUGCAGUAAUUUAUAAAGUAGGUCUGUUCGACCUUUAAUAUAUUACAUGAUUUGAGUUCAAACCGGUGUAAACCAGGUUGGUUUCUAUCUUUUUAUGUAUUUUUCUAGUACGAAAGGACAAAAAAAUAUAUUAUUAAUAAUAUAUUAGCAAAUAAAUGCAUUAGAAUUAGAAUCUAAAUUUACUUAUAUAUAUAUAUUAAUUAAUUCUAUUAUCCCUAUAAUCUCUAUUCUAAUUAGAGUUGCAUUUUACACAAUCUUAGAGCGAAAAAUUUUAAGAUAUAUUCAAAUUCGAAAGGGUCCUAACAAAGUAGGAUUUAUGGGAAUUUUACAACCAUUCAGUGAUGCUAUUAAACUUUUUAACAAAACAUUAUUAUCUUCAGAAUACAUAAAUUUUUCAUUAUCCUAUUUAACCCCAGCAACAUCACUAAUUUUAGCUUUUUUAAUUAUUUCAUUUAUACCUAUAUAUUACUUCUGUCCAUUUGAUAACAAGCAUAAUAUUCUUAUAUUUUUUAUCAUUUCAAGAUUAGCAGUUUAUUCUAUUCU
RNAcentral lists this ribosomal RNA (861 nucleotides) under Rugathodes sp. MAA-2007. Its description in RNAcentral is "partial 16S ribosomal RNA". The stretch from base 102 to 414 matches the Rfam family "Bacterial large subunit ribosomal RNA", at positions 2072 to 2648 of the family's 2925-position model. Lineage: Eukaryota; Metazoa; Arthropoda; Arachnida; Araneae; Theridiidae. The record is from RNAcentral.